This is a long non-coding RNA of Drosophila guanche, 2814 nucleotides long. RefSeq lists it as uncharacterized. NCBI's taxonomy places the organism in Eukaryota, Metazoa, Arthropoda, Insecta, Diptera, Drosophilidae. The record is from RefSeq and is a predicted model, not a curated record. The transcript has 2 exons.
UUUUAAAUGCACUACUCCCCCGCAACCGUUGAUUCGGACGUAGAGUGCAGCAGCCAGCAGCAAAAAGCAAAUGCGAAAAAUGAAAAGAAAGUGUGUGUGUGUGUGCGUGUGUGUUAGAUUUUAUAUGCAUGGCAUGGCUCCAGCUCCAAACUCCAAGUUCAGAAGGAACCUGCCCCAAGUGGAAGCUCCUUGCUCUUCCCUGCCACUCGUUUAUAUUAAUUCUACAAACUACAGUUAAGCCUCGCCUCGCUGCAACUCUCACAUUUCAUAUCAUUUCGCUUGAAAGAUAAGAACGUGUGCAUAAUCGUGUUUCAUAUUUUUCGUAGAGUAUAAAGAAGCAGCAGCAGCAGCUCUAUGCGAGUUUUCUGCUGGCUAGUAAACUGCGGCGACGACGACCUUUACUGACCUUCAAUAGCAAGCAUUUGCCUACCUACCUACCUACCCGCAGACUCUGUCCCUCUCGCGCUCCUACGCUGUGCAGAGCAUUUCGAUUCGUAUUUCAAAAAGCGCACUAAAACCUCAAUUUGUUUGUUUAUAAAAAGUAUGCGAAUUGGUGCCUUAGGCAAAGCUGCUGACAACUGAUAAGCGUUAUGGGCAUGGGGAGGUAGAAACUACCGCAAAGCCGCUGAGUGAACGAGAGAGAGAGAAACCAGGAGAGAGAAGCGCUUGACAGUUAUGCUUAGAGCUGCUGCUGCUGCUAAUCGGUGAUUUGUUGUGACUUGAUUGUCGCCGCAUAUUGAUUUUUUGUUGCUCCACUUUUCGCUUUUCUGCUCUCUGCUCUUCUGACCCAGUAGCGCCAGGCAUCGUCAAAUCAGCAUUAUUAGUGUGAUUUCCGCAUCCCCUCCACACAGAAAUCAAAAUCCAAAUCCCAUUCAGAUUAUUGGGAUGGGGAUGCAAUCUCCUUGGCAUUUUCACACGCAUUCGCUUACGUACGCUGAUCAUGUUUGAAGAUGCACUAAACACACUAUAUAUACACAUGAUCCCACAAGUUUAUACAUGAUAUAUAUAAAUUAUAGAUGUUUUUCUAUUUAUAACGCCGUUAUAUGUAUCGCUCGGAAUUAUGGCUGGCGACAGGCGCUAACAACUUUUUGUGCGCCCGAAAAUAUCUAUAUGUAAUUCUCGAAAAGUCUUUCCACACGAGAACGAAAAAUUCCUUGUCUCGGAGCAAAAGAACGCCCACUAUUGGCUUCUGUCUGGGUUAUACGUUGUACACGUACAAUUCUUCCACAAUCCAUAAAAUCUGCAUGAGUUUAUGCCCGCAUUUAUCAUCAGUCUCUGCAGCUGUGUUUGUCUGAGGUUUUCGCCCAUGGGGGAUAUAAUAGGGAUCGAUCUCCAGCGGCAGGCAGCCACCGCGGAGGCGCCUGUGCCACUGCAUCGCCUACCCGCAGAUGCCGCAGAGCCAGAAGAAGAUGACUAUGUUGCUGUUGCUGUUCUGUUGUUGUCGCGCUACAAUUUCAUUUCAUUUCAUUUCACAUUUACCCGGCUAUUUUUAGUGGUCUGCUCUUUCGGCACACAGAUACACACAUCUAGCAGAUACACACAGCAUCCAUGUGUUCCCGCAGAACUUGUUUCUCGCCUUGCACUCGCCAAUUUGUGCGUUGGUGUCGCCUCGCCGGUCGCCCAUUCCUCAUUCUUCGUUCCCCAUUGCUCCCCACUGCACCCAAUGUGGCAUUUUCGUGGAUUGGCAAACGGGUUUCGAGGCUGCGAUGUGUGGGCAUGGGCAUGGGCGGAGCAGGUCUGGGCCACUCAAGGUCUCGGGUCUGUCAUUCAUUUAAUUUCCGACACCAUUCAUGGACGAGCCUUGCGCUUAUCUGACAGAUGAUACACCCUAUCAUGCCCCAAUGAGCACUCGUUCAACCCAGACCCCAACCACCCCCUAAACAAACCCGCACUCACAGGGCGACCUAUUACUCUCUCGCUUUUGACUGGGUCGUUUAUCAGCUUUAUUGUGCUACAGGUAUACUUACUACGCGCAUGAUAAAAGAGAGCGGUUUAUGUUUUGAAGAGAGCGUGAGCUUUCGGCCAGAGCGAAGCUUAAGCUUUCUACACUGGAAACAUUUUGUAGGAAUUUCCCACAAUUAGCUGUCAAACAGCGUGCUAAUUUAUCCAUUUCUAAGUUUAAGUUUAAGCAUAUUUUUAAGGAAAAUGUCGCGUCGCCAUUCCGUUUGACAUGUUUCAACAGUCUGAACAGUUGUGGAGGUCUAAAAUUAGACCAAGUGUUGUUUGUUUUAUUUUAUUUAAGUCGCCCGAUUUAUGUGGCAGAGUGAAAUUCCUUUUGAUCGUUAUUGUCUUGUGAAUCUUUUUGCCAUUGUGAUCUCUUUUUUGUGUGUUGGUCACAUCCGGCACUGCGAAUCAUGAGAAAAGAAAGCAUAAAGCCCACACUCUUACACAUAUACACACACACAUACACACUCCACACACAAAUCCAUCAGUUGUAUAUAGAAGAGGAUAUAGAUGGAGAGGGGCAGGCAGCAUUCUCGAAAUGAAGCUCAUCAUCAGCUGCAGCUGCAAAGCCUCUGUUAAAGCAUCUGCAUCCUCAUCCGUGUCCGUAGCAGCGAGAAGGUAGUUGUUGUAAUCCAUCCACUUGUUGUAUUCCAAUGCUUCCCACGCUUCUAAAACCAAUGUAAACAGAACUCUCUAAUCAGACAUUUAACCCCACUAAAGUUAGUCCCAUAAAAUGUACAAAGAAAUGUACAACAAAAAUGUACAUACAUAUAUCAACAAACUAUCUCUGAUUUUGUAGCAAUAAUGUUCGAAAUUCAACUUGUCAAUAAUCGAAAUUGGAAAUAAAACUUUAAUUAAUUGGUAUCUCUA